Molecule: long non-coding RNA, 405 nt
Filed under: Fukomys damarensis (Damara mole-rat)
Lineage: Eukaryota; Metazoa; Chordata; Mammalia; Rodentia; Bathyergidae
Description: lncRNA (ENSFDAG00000033213.1)
Source: RNAcentral
AGUUACCUUAUCUGUAUGAUGGUUACAGUGAUAAUUGAUGUCCUCUACAGUGCUGAAGAUUUUAUGGCCACAUGGAGAUACUGUGAGAGGAUAAAGACAGCCCAGCGCUUGGCACCUGGGGUGGAGUCAGUCAAGUGCAGUCUCAUUGUGUCUAGGCCACUUGGGGCACAAUCUUUCAUGACGAUGACAAGCACUCAAGAUGGGAGACCAGUGAGGGGACGCUACCCCUUUCACCUCACGAGUCAGCCACGGCAAGUCACACGAGGUGACACAGCAAGAAAAGUGAGCAAGAAGACACGGGUAUGUGAGUAAGCAGGACGCCAGGAGAUGGACAAUAAUCGGCUGAGCAGGAAUAAACAGGAGCAGGUGGGGCUCGUGGGAGGGCUAGGUUUGCGGGGGUUGGGA